ACACAUGCAAGUCGAACGGAGUUAAAUUCGACACCCGAGUAUCCGGCCGGGAGGCGGGGUGCUGGGGGUUGGAUUUAACUUAGUGGCGGACGGGUGAGUAACGCGUGAGUAACCUGCCUUUCAGAGGGGGAUAACGUUCUGAAAAGAACGCUAAUACCGCAUAACAUCAAUUUAUCGCAUGAUAGGUUGAUCAAAGGAGCAAUCCGCUGGAAGAUGGACUCGCGUCCGAUUAGCCAGUUGGCGGGGUAACGGCCCACCAAAGCGACGAUCGGUAGCCGGACUGAGAGGUUGAACGGCCACAUUGGGACUGAGACACGGCCCAGACUCCUACGGGAGGCAGCAGUGGGGGAUAUUGCACAAUGGGGGAAACCCUGAUGCAGCAACGCCGCGUGAGGGAAGAAGGUUUUCGGAUUGUAAACCUCUGUUCUUAGUGACGAUAAUGACGGUAGCUAAGGAGAAAGCUCCGGCUAACUACGUGCCAGCAGCCGCGGUAAUACGUAGGGAGCGAGCGUUGUCCGGAUUUACUGGGUGUAAAGGGUGCGUAGGCGGCGAGGCAAGUCAGGCGUGAAAUCUAUGGGCUUAACCCAUAAACUGCGCUUGAAACUGUCUUGCUUGAGUGAAGUAGAGGUAGGCGGAAUUCCCGGUGUAGCGGUGAAAUGCGUAGAGAUCGGGAGGAACACCAGUGGCGAAGGCGGCCUACUGGGCUUUAACUGACGCUGAAGCACGAAAGCAUGGGUAGCAAACAGGAUUAGAUACCCUGGUAGUCCAUGCCGUAAACGAUGAUUACUAGGUGUGGGGGGUCUGACCCCCUCCGUGCCGCAGUUAACACAAUAAGUAAUCCACCUGGGGAGUACGGCCGCA
Molecule: ribosomal RNA, 861 nt
Filed under: uncultured bacterium
Lineage: Bacteria
Description: bacterial SSU rRNA
Rfam family: Bacterial small subunit ribosomal RNA
Source: RNAcentral